CCCUUAGAUGUUCUGGGCCGCACGCGCGCUACACUGACGAAGUCAGCGAGCAUGUCCUACGCCGACAGGUGCGGGGAAUCUUGUCAAACUUCGUCGUGAUGGGGAUUGAUUAUUGAAAUUCUUGAUCAUCAACGAGGAAUUCCUAGUAAGCGCAAGUCAGCAGCUUGCGUUGAUUACGUACCUGCCCUUUGUACACACCGCCCGUCGCUACUACCGAUUGAAUGGUUUAGUGAGAUCUUCGGAUUGGCGCCACUGCGGCUCAGCAAUGGGCUCGGUGGAUGCCGAAAAGUUGAUCAAACUUGAUCAUUUAGAGGAAGUAAAAGUCGUAACA
RNAcentral lists this ribosomal RNA (331 nucleotides) under uncultured eukaryote. Its description in RNAcentral is "partial 18S ribosomal RNA". It matches the Rfam family "Eukaryotic small subunit ribosomal RNA", at positions 1470 to 1796 of the family's 1831-position model. The record is from RNAcentral.